AAAUUGAAGAGUUUGAUCAUGGCUCAGAUUGAACGCUGGCGGCAGGCCUAACACAUGCAAGUCGAACGGUAACAGGAAGCAGCUUGCUGCUUUGCUGACGAGUGGCGGACGGGUGAGUAAUGUCUGGGAAACUGCCUGAUGGAGGGGGAUAACUACUGGAAACGGUGGCUAAUACCGCAUAAUGUCGCAAGACCAAAGAGGGGGACCUUCGGGCCUCUUGCCAUCAGAUGUGCCCAGAUGGGAUUAGCUUGUUGGUGAGGUAACGGCUCACCAAGGCGACGAUCCCUAGCUGGUCUGAGAGGAUGACCAGCCACACUGGAACUGAGACACGGUCCAGACUCCUACGGGAGGCAGCAGUGGGGAAUAUUGCACAAUGGGCGCAAGCCUGAUGCAGCCAUGCCGCGUGUAUGAAGAAGGCCUUCGGGUUGUAAAGUACUUUCAGCGGGGAGGAAGGUGUUGCGGUUAAUAACCGCAGCAAUUGACGUUACCCGCAGAAGAAGCACCGGCUAACUCCGUGCCAGCAGCCGCGGUAAUACGGAGGGUGCAAGCGUUAAUCGGAAUUACUGGGCGUAAAGCGCACGCAGGCGGUCUGUCAAGUCGGAUGUGAAAUCCCCGGGCUCAACCUGGGAACUGCAUUCGAAACUGGCAGGCUUGAGUCUUGUAGAGGGGGGUAGAAUUCCAGGUGUAGCGGUGAAAUGCGUAGAGAUCUGGAGGAAUACCGGUGGCGAAGGCGGCCCCCUGGACAAAGACUGACGCUCAGGUGCGAAAGCGUGGGGAGCAAACAGGAUUAGAUACCCUGGUAGUCCACGCCGUAAACGAUGUCUACUUGGAGGUUGUGCCCUUGAGGCGUGGCUUCCGGAGCUAACGCGUUAAGUAGACCGCCUGGGGAGUACGGCCGCAAGGUUAAAACUCAAAUGAAUUGACGGGGGCCCGCACAAGCGGUGGAGCAUGUGGUUUAAUUCGAUGCAACGCGAAGAACC
Molecule: ribosomal RNA, 980 nt
Filed under: Salmonella enterica
Lineage: Bacteria; Pseudomonadati; Pseudomonadota; Gammaproteobacteria; Enterobacterales; Enterobacteriaceae
Also listed under: 2 other names
Description: bacterial SSU rRNA
Rfam family: Bacterial small subunit ribosomal RNA
Source: RNAcentral